GUAGGGCGCAAGCGUUGUCCGGAAUUAUUGGGCGUAAAGAGCUCGUAGGCGGCUUGUCACGUCGGGUGUGAAAGCCCGGGGCUUAACCCCGGGUCUGCAUUCGAUACGGGCAGGCUAGAGUGUGGUAGGGGAGAUCGGAAUUCCUGGUGUAGCGGUGAAAUGCGCAGAUAUCAGGAGGAACACCGGUGGCGAAGGCGGAUCUCUGGGCCAUUACUGACGCUGAGGAGCGAAAGCGUGGGGAGCGAACAGGAUUAGAUACCCUGGUAGUCCACGCCGUAAACGGUGGGAACUAGGUGUUGGCGACAUUCCACGUCGUCGGUGCCGCAGCUAACGCAUUAAGUUCCCCGCCUGGGGAGUACGGCCGCAAGGCG
RNAcentral lists this ribosomal RNA (371 nucleotides) under uncultured bacterium. Its description in RNAcentral is "bacterial SSU rRNA". It matches the Rfam family "Bacterial small subunit ribosomal RNA", at positions 527 to 895 of the family's 1533-position model. The record is from RNAcentral.